Non-coding RNA from Drosophila melanogaster (fruit fly), 450 nucleotides. NCBI's taxonomy places the organism in Eukaryota, Metazoa, Arthropoda, Insecta, Diptera, Drosophilidae. The record is from Ensembl.
CAGCAAUUUUAAAAGAAACAAGAGCAAUGCCAGCAACAUUAGUUAGACACGCAAAUGUUAUCAACAAUUCCAGCAAAAGCAACAUAUGUAACAGCGGGAAUAUGAACAAGAGCAACAUUAACAGCAACAUGUGGAACCUAAGCAACAUUUACAACAACAUGUGGAACGAGAGCAACAUUGACAGCUGGAACUGCAACAUGACAGGAGUAACAUUAAACAGGAACAUCAAAAACAAAAGCAGUAGCAGCAACAUUAGAAACAAAAGCAACAUAGCAACAUUAGAAACAAACGCAACAACACUGCCGACACAAGACAACACCAAUGGCUUUGUAGACAACAUUAACAAAGAACGAGCUGUUCAAACAAAGUAACAACAGCAACAAAAGAGGAAGAAAACCAACAAUACUUGUAAAUAACAUUAUGGCCCAUACAGCAGCAACAAUAGUUGCU